GCGGGAGUGGCGGAAUUGGCAGACGCGCUAGAUUCAGGUUCUAGUGCCCAAAAGGCAUAUGGGUUCAAGUCCCUUCUCCCGCACCA
Molecule: transfer RNA, 86 nt
Filed under: Thermoanaerobacterium thermosaccharolyticum
Lineage: Bacteria; Bacillati; Bacillota; Clostridia; Thermoanaerobacterales; Thermoanaerobacteraceae
Also listed under: 3 other names
Description: tRNA-Leu
Rfam family: tRNA
About the family: Transfer RNA (tRNA) molecules are approximately 80 nucleotides in length. Their secondary structure includes four short double-helical elements and three loops (D, anti-codon, and T loops).
Source: RNAcentral